GCUGGGAUAGCCUAGCCUGGUAAGGCGCAGGUCUGGAAAGCCUGUGCUCUCGUAGCUCGGGAGUUCGAAUCUCCCUCCCAGCG
This is a transfer RNA of Thermoplasmatales archaeon E-plasma, 83 nucleotides long. It matches the Rfam family "tRNA". Rfam says of the family: Transfer RNA (tRNA) molecules are approximately 80 nucleotides in length. Their secondary structure includes four short double-helical elements and three loops (D, anti-codon, and T loops). The record is from Rfam. NCBI's taxonomy places the organism in Archaea, Methanobacteriati, Thermoplasmatota, Thermoplasmata, Thermoplasmatales.